Molecule: long non-coding RNA, 874 nt
Filed under: Homo sapiens (human)
Lineage: Eukaryota; Metazoa; Chordata; Mammalia; Primates; Hominidae
Description: HSALNT0294862
Source: RNAcentral
GACGAAUCCGCGCUCCCCCAGGCUGUCGCGCGAGCUCCCCGGAAGCUCCCACCUGAGCGGCGCAUCCUCAGGGCCUGGGCCUGGCCUCCUUGCCUGUGAGAUGGCACUGUGACGGUGCCCACCUCGUGGGGUGUGUGAGGGCCGAGUGAAAUCGUGCAUUUGCGAUGACCAAGUCGGCCCACUGCACCACCACGAUACUGACGAAGAAGGCUGUGUGGCAGGUGAACUCCACGAUUUUCCUCUGCUCAUAGGUCUGAAAUGCAGAAGACAGAAGAUGAGCUCUGGCUCUUCACCUGCAUGGCUGGUGGCAGUGUGGCCUCAGUCUUCUGGGGCUUGAGGAGCUCUGACACUGGUCAGGUCAGAGGUGCCCACUCACCCACUGCUGCCCGUAGCUGUCUUCCACAUCGUUGAUCCAGCGGUCAUCCCAGUCCACUCGGAGGCCCAACAGGUGAAUUGGGAGGAAGCCGUUCUCAGCCAGAAUCACAAAGUGAAGUAUACAAAAAUAAAGAUUCCCAUCUGAUAAACAAAUGUUAACUGCUGCCUUGAAGAGUGGUAAUACUGAUUCUGUGAAGCCGGGAUUGGGACACACACUGGAUACUGGUCCUGAGAAUUUCUUUUCCCAACGCCAGCCUCAUGGAUGCUGGGAGCAUAGUGCCAGUGAAUGAAGACACAGCUCACACCUCACUACUAUCGAUCUGUGACUGUUGUGACACUCACCAUGUCAGUGCCCAAGUCAAUGCAGAGGAUGGUGACAGUCCCCAGUGGUAGUGGAAUGUUUGCAAUAAUAAAUAUCAGGAACGGGGUGAUCUCGGGAAUGUUACUGGUUAAGGUAUAAGCAAUGGAUUUCUUCAAGUUAUCAAAGAUCAGACGACCU